This 594-nucleotide long non-coding RNA is filed under the name Elaeis guineensis (African oil palm). RNAcentral's name for it is "long non-coding RNA (EGUI_LNC071950)". Lineage: Eukaryota; Viridiplantae; Streptophyta; Magnoliopsida; Arecales; Arecaceae. The record is from RNAcentral.
AUUCGUUUGAGCUAACCUAUUUAGAUCAAUUGACCUAUUGAUAUCUAAGGUAAGUGAUUGAGAGGUGACUAUUUAAUUGAUUUUGUUAGUUGAUCUGAUCAACUUAUUGAUGUCUAAAGAAAGCAACGGGGGGAUCCCCAUCGAUCUUCACUUAUCUGACCAAUUUGGAAGAUUGAAUCUUGAAUAAGGUUACUUAGCAUUUUAGUUUAAUCCAUACCAAUUAGAUCAAUCAUAUGAUGACUGAUUAGAUGAGAUCUAAACCUAAACUUUUUCAUAAAUAUUAAGUCCAUAGGUCUUCCACUAUUGUAGAUGUAUGGGCAUGCUACUGGUGUUGAUUGUUCUCAGCUGGUUAUAGUGGUUUAGUUGCAUCAGAAAUAUGUAAGUACUCUAUUAGCAAAGAGUUACUCCAGGGUAAGGAUGGGGUUGGACCCAAUUAUUGAGAAUUAUAUCUUAAAACUAAUCGUGUGACGAUUGAGUUCAUCAUUGUAUAUAAAUUAUUGAUUAUUGAAUAAUAGUUAUUUUGAUAUUUUUUAUCACAAAGUGAUAUCUUCUUUGAAGUCUUGUACUGUGAUGAAGUCUCUAGAACUAUGCUAG